RNAcentral lists this ribosomal RNA (460 nucleotides) under uncultured bacterium. RNAcentral describes it as "bacterial SSU rRNA". It matches the Rfam family "Bacterial small subunit ribosomal RNA", at positions 29 to 478 of the family's 1533-position model. The record is from RNAcentral.
AACGAACGCUGGCGGCGUGGCUAAGGCAUGCAAGUCGAGCGAACCUACUUCAAGGGUAACUGAGAGGUUGGUUAGCGGCGGACGGGUGAGGAAUACAUGGGUAACGUGCCCCGGACUCAGGGAUAGCGUUUAGAAAUGAACGGUAAUACCUGAUGACCCCGUAGGAUCGCAUGAUCCAGCGGGGCAAAGUUCCGGCGGUCUGGGAGCGGCUCAUGUCCUAUCAGCUAGUUGGCGGGGGAACGGCCCACCAAGGCUGCAACGGGUACCGGGCGUGAGAGCGCGACCCGGCACAUCGGAACUGAGACACGGUCCAGACACCUACGGGUGGGCAGCAGUCGAGUAAUUUUUCUUCAAUGGGCGAAAGCCUGAAGGAGCGACGCCGCGUGGGGAUGAAGGGCUUCGGCUCGUAAACCCCUGUCAUUUGCGAAACAAACCUUACGAUCUAAUAAGUCGUGAGCUG